GCUUACGGCAGUACCGUCCUGAAAAUGUCCAAUCUCAUCUGAUCUCGGAAGCUAAGCAGGGUUGUGCCUGGUUAGUACUUGGAUAAGAGACCGCCUGGGAAUACCUGGUGCUGUAAGCU
RNAcentral lists this ribosomal RNA (119 nucleotides) under Cyprinodon variegatus (sheepshead minnow). The record is from RNAcentral. Lineage: Eukaryota; Metazoa; Chordata; Actinopteri; Cyprinodontiformes; Cyprinodontidae.